This 440-nucleotide long non-coding RNA is filed under the name Monodelphis domestica (gray short-tailed opossum). Its description in RNAcentral is "lncRNA (ENSMODG00000030692.2)". The record is from RNAcentral. Lineage: Eukaryota; Metazoa; Chordata; Mammalia; Didelphimorphia; Didelphidae.
CUAGAGUAGUGACUUCCUGUAGGAAGUUGGAUUCUUCCUGUCUGGAAGAGUGGAGGAAAGGCAGGUUUGUUGGAGCUCCUCUACCUCAACCUGACUGUGGAAACCCCCCUAAAUCAUCUUUUGAGGGAGAACUUACUUAUAUAGAUCUCCAAAAAGAGCAAAGAUCCUCCAGUAUGCCAAACAUAUAAGUUAAUUCAUAUUCAAAGAGGACAUCUAUCAGAGGCCUUAUAAAUGAAAAAGACAUGGGAAGAAUUGUCAGACAUAAAGAAGUAAAGGUAAGAAGAAAGCACUUUUUACAUAAUUAUUACGUGUUUUAUACUGUACUACAUAUUUAAAAUCAGUGUGAGUGAUCUUUCCAGGGUCACAUGACUAAUAUGUGUCUAAAAUGGAUUUGAACUUCAGAUUUCCUGAUAACAGGUUCAUUGUAUGCCAUGCACUCC